GACGAACGCUGGCGGCGUGCCUAAUACAUGCAAGUUGAGCGCUGAAGGUUGGUACUUGUACCAACUGGAUGAGCAGCGAACGGGUGAGUAACGCGUGGGGAAUCUGCCUUUGAGCGGGGGACAACAUUUGGAAACGAUUGCUAAUACCGCAUAAAAACUUUAAACACAAGUUUUAAGUUUGAAAGAUGCAAUUGCAUCACUCAAAGAUGAUCCCGCGUUGUAUUAGCUAGUUGGUGAGGUAAAGGCUCACCAAGGCGAUGAUACAUAGCCGACCUGAGAGGGUGAUCGGCCACAUUGGGACUGAGACACGGCCCAAACUCCUACGGGAGGCAGCAGUAGGGAAUCUUCGGCAAUGGACGAAAGUCUGACCGAGCAACGCCGCGUGAGUGAAGAAGGUUUUCGGAUCGUAAAACUCUGUUAGUAGGGAAGAACGUUGGUGAGAGUGGAAAGCUCAUCAAGUGACGGUAACUACCCAGAAAGGGACGGCUAACUACGU
Molecule: ribosomal RNA, 496 nt
Filed under: uncultured bacterium
Lineage: Bacteria
Description: partial 16S ribosomal RNA
Rfam family: Bacterial small subunit ribosomal RNA
Source: RNAcentral